Long non-coding RNA from Equus asinus (donkey), 1308 nucleotides. The record is from Ensembl. Lineage: Eukaryota; Metazoa; Chordata; Mammalia; Perissodactyla; Equidae.
CAAGGAUCCAAUCACUUUAUUUUGUGUCAUUUCAUCCUUAUAACACCAGCUGUAUAAGCGUGUUGACAUCUGCACUGAUGGUGCAAAACAAUGGUGGAUGAAACUGCUGAAGCCUUAGCAUGAAUCAAGACAGCGGGACUAAAUUUUUAGAUGAUUGGCUAAUCAGUGCCACCCCGGACAAGGAGCUUCUGGCCUGAAUCUGUUUCUUCACCUGCAAAAUGGAAAUAAGCAUCAAGCAGGAUGACCAACUCGGUGAACUUGAUAUUCGGCAUUGUUGGGAGCAGCUAUCCAUAGCCCUCAGAAUACAAGUCAGGGCCACCAGGGGCGGCUGAGAUUAGACAGAAGCCAUGAAGGAGGAAGCGGUGAAGAGGUAUGAGGCCCAAGCAGCAGCGGAGUCCAGAAAGCAUCAACAAGCAUAAACUUCCUAAGGUAACAAUAUCUCCCGAAGAUCACCCCUUAGCAAUAAACACAGAUCUCGCUCCCUCCGUUUUCUAGCUGCGGAGGAGUUCAUCGCGUGGAUGCACCGUGGUUGAUCAACCUGUCACUUAUUGAUGGAUCUUUGGUUUGUUUUCAGUUUUUGCUGUUACAAAUAGAGCAACAGUUAAUAUUCUUGCAGACAUAUUUUUGUGUCUUUGCAAGCAUGUCUUUGGGCUCCCUCUUCUCUAUUAUCGCCAAGUGUUAAAAAGUACCUCCUCACACUUUCUGCUGGCUCUGCUUCUCCGCUUCACCGGACCUCCUGCCUCCUCUGCGCGUCGUGUUCCUGUUUUGUUCCGUUUGGAUAAUAUCCCAGCAGUUCUUUUUAACGCGGGGCUUCAUCUUGGAAGAGAUCUUGGGUAGACGAGUUUGGGAGUUCACGGGGUUGUCUCAGCACCGGCCAACCUCACGAGCCGCACGUAGCUGCACUUACCCACAAACUGGAGCCUCAGGGACCCUCCCAGUUUGGGUGCUGUCCUCGGGGUGGCCUGCUGACCCUCCUGAGAGUAUCCGUUGGCGAGUGUAGGGUCUCCAGCUUGCAGGGCCCUCAGCAGUCCCCCGCCUUUGCCCUGAUUUCCCCUGCACCGAAACUGAUACCAUGCAGGUCUUGCUGCUCUCAGUAAUUUGUCCCAUCUGCUUGCAUUUUGGCGUCCAUAGGAGCACCUGGCAUCGAGCUUUGCUGCUGAUGUCAUCAGUCAGUUCUUUGGCUUUUCUCACAACUUCACUGUUAAUUAGAAAAAAUGCAGAUUAAAGCUCAACCAAGAAUAUAUAGAAAGUCUUUGUAUAUUCUUACACAUUUUGUCAGUUUUAAAUUGUAUCAAAAUUAAAAGUUAC